Molecule: ribosomal RNA, 398 nt
Filed under: uncultured bacterium
Lineage: Bacteria
Description: bacterial SSU rRNA
Rfam family: Bacterial small subunit ribosomal RNA
Source: RNAcentral
AAUCAACGCUGGCGGCGUGCCUCAGACAUGCAAGUCGAACGCGAAAGUUUCCUUCGGGAAGCGAGUAGAGUGGCGCACGGGUGAGUAACACGUAGGUAAUGUACCUUUGGGUGGGGAAUAACUUAGGGAAACUUAAGCUAAUACCGCAUAAUGCAGCGGCUCGACAUCGAGACAGUUGUUAAAGCAUUUAUGCGCCUGAAGAGCAGCCUGCGGCAGAUUAGCUUGNGGUAAGGUAAUGGCUUACCAAGGCUACGAUCUGUAACCGACCUGAGAGGGUGGUCGGUCACACUGACACUGAAUAACGGGUCAGACUCCUACGGGAGGCAGCAGUCGGGAAUUUUGGGCAAUGGGCGAAAGCCUGACCCAGCAACGCCGCGUGAAGGAUGAAGUCUUUCGGG